This 316-nucleotide ribosomal RNA is filed under the name Enchenopa sp. CPL-2004a. RNAcentral's name for it is "partial 12S small subunit ribosomal RNA". The record is from RNAcentral. Lineage: Eukaryota; Metazoa; Arthropoda; Insecta; Hemiptera; Membracidae.
UUAGAAUAAAAGUAGCUAUGUUCUUCAUAACUCAAAGAAUUUGGCAGUUAAUAAAAAUUUCAGAGGAACCUGUAUUUUAAUUGAUAAACCACGAUAGUUUUUACCUUAAUUAUAUUUGUAUAUCUCUAUAUAGUAGAUUGUUUUAUUAGAAUAAAUUUUCUUUAUAGAUGUGUAUCUUAAAUGUUAGGUCAAGGUGCAGUUUUCUUUAGGUUUGUAUGGGUUACUUUACUUGUAUUAUUUAUUAAGCUUAGUUUUUUAAAUUUAUAUUUUAAUAGGAUUUGAUAGUAAUUAAAAUUAAUUUAUUUUUUUGAAUAUU